UCCAACACCAAUCUGUCAACAUCGGGAGUGCGAUUUCAUAACAAUUUCAAUUUUACUGUAAAAUCUGAAUUAAAUAAUUCGUCGGCGAAAGGUUUUCAAAAAUGACGAAGGAAUCGGCCCCUCCGGCUACUGGUCCUAGGGAUUGUCUAUCCUGUAGACUUGUGGGUGCUGCAGGUUUAAUAGGCAUUGGAGGUUAUCUUGCGAAUUAUGCCUGGAAAAAUCAUACAUUAGCCGGCAGAAUUACUUUAUCCACUCUUUCUUUGACAUUUGUAAGUCUCGGUAUAGCAAGAUAUAAGCAGACAUAUCCAUUUGAGAAGAGAGAAAAACAAAAGGCGUAAUGUAAUAAUUUUUUUAUGCUAUAAUAGUUAUGUUAAUAAACAUAGAGAAAGGGUGUAGUGGGAUAGUUGCUUUGUAAAACUGUAUUUACUGCUUGUAAGUAAUUUUAAGCAUUACUACUUAGUUUAGUGACUGAUAGAAAGAAUUAUUUAUAUUGCAUUAAAAUACAACCAGUGCCAUUCCUGGGAAUGUACCCAAAGGGAAUACUCAUGUUGUAAAAACCCAGUAAUACUAAGGACACUGGCUGCUUGCUGUGUUAUUUGCCUGAAGGUUAGGUAAUUAAUACACCUUUUUUUUCUUAAAUUUUGCCUCUUUUACUACCAAGUAUGAUGGUAAAGUGGGAACAUUCAUGGUAACGGCACAUACAUACAUAUAACAUGCAAAAACAACUUAUACAUGUCCCACUGCUGGGCACAGGCCUCCCCUCAACCAACGGGGGGAGGGGGCGCGGGGGGGACAUUACUGAAUAAACCUUGGUUACCAUAUUUAUUUAUACAAUAAUGCAUCAUUUUGUUCAAUCAAUAUUUGUGAUGGGGGCUAGUCCUUGCCAUAACGAACACAGAAAAAGUGAUGUACCAUUAAUUAGGUACCUAUAUAAUUAGAUGAAAAGCUAUAUUUGGUAUACAUAAUACAAAUGUAAGUAAAGUGACAAUAUAUUACUUUUUAAACAAAAGAAAUGACUGAUUAAGAUCAAUCACAUUGUAUUUUUGCUUGAAAGAAAAUAUAAAUAGAAAUUUACUAUUUAUAAUAUUUAAUAUAGGUAAUUUAAUUAUGUAUGAGUAUGUGUUAUAUAUAACGGUUGUAGUUAUUAGAAUAUUGCAUUUUGUAAAUAAAUUAAACUACUAACUAAAA
Pectinophora gossypiella (pink bollworm) is the source of this 1188-nucleotide long non-coding RNA. RefSeq lists it as uncharacterized. The transcript is spliced from 2 exons. The record is from RefSeq and is a predicted model, not a curated record. NCBI's taxonomy places the organism in Eukaryota, Metazoa, Arthropoda, Insecta, Lepidoptera, Gelechiidae.